GACGAACGCUGGCGGCGUGCUUAACACAUGCAAGUCGAGCGGAAAGGCCCUGCUUUUGUGGGGUGCUCGAGUGGCGAACGGGUGAGUAACACGUGAGUAACCUGCCCUUGACUUUGGGAUAACUUCAGGAAACUGGGGCUAAUACCGGAUAGGAGCUCCUGCUGCAUGGUGGGGGUUGGAAAGUUUCGGCGGUUGGGGAUGGACUCGCGGCUUAUCAGCUUGUUGGUGGGGUAGUGGCUUACCAAGGCUUUGACGGGUAGCCGGCCUGAGAGGGUGACCGGCCACAUUGGGACUGAGAUACGGCCCAGACUCCUACGGGAGGCAGCAGUGGGGAAUAUUGCACAAUGGGCGGAAGCCUGAUGCGGCAACGCCGCGUGCGGGAUGACGGCCUUCGGGUUGUAAACCGCUUUCGCCUGUGACGAAGCGUGAGUGACGGUAAUGGGUAAAGAAGCACCGGCUAACUACGUG
This 468-nucleotide ribosomal RNA is filed under the name uncultured bacterium. Its description in RNAcentral is "partial 16S ribosomal RNA". It matches the Rfam family "Bacterial small subunit ribosomal RNA", at positions 28 to 507 of the family's 1533-position model. The record is from RNAcentral.